RNAcentral lists this long non-coding RNA (306 nucleotides) under Elaeis guineensis (African oil palm). RNAcentral describes it as "long non-coding RNA (EGUI_LNC039520)". The record is from RNAcentral. Lineage: Eukaryota; Viridiplantae; Streptophyta; Magnoliopsida; Arecales; Arecaceae.
AUCAUUAUUAAACAAUGAUCAUUGAUGGACUGCCCAUCAUGCAUUUUUAUUCUAAAAAAUCUAUGAGAGAUCUCAAAGUGAGCCAUGCGACUUUGCUCAGCGUAUAACUCUUGCAGGUGAGUCAGUAAGUCCCUAGCAGUUCGUAUGUCUUUAUGCUGGCACUGUAGAUCAUUUGAUAUGGAUGCAAGAAUAUAGCACUUCGUCCUAUUACCUUCGUCCAUCUAUUUCUUAAGUGUAGCUCAUUGAUCAGGGGAUGGAUGACCUAACAAUGAAAGAGUUAAUGUCCUGCAAGCUAAUCUUAUGGCA